GACGAACGCUGGCGGCGUGCUUAACACAUGCAAGUCGAACGGAAAGGCCCUGCUUUUGUGGGGUGCUCGAGUGGCGAACGGGUGAGUAACACGUGAGUAACCUGCCCUUGACUUUGGGAUAACUUCAGGAAACUGGGGCUAAUACCGGAUAGGAGCUCCUGCUGCAUGGUGGGGGUUGGAAAGUUUCGGCGGUUGGGGAUGGACUCGCGGCUUAUCAGCUUGUUGGUGGGGUAGUGGCUUACCAAGGCUUUGACGGGUAGCCGGCCUGAGAGGGUGACCGGCCACAUUGGGCCUGGGGUCGGGCCCAGACCCCUACGGGGGGAAGGGGUGGGGAAUUUUGCAAAAGGGGCGGAAGCCUGAUGGAGCAACGCCGCGUGCGGGAUGGCGGCCUUCGGGUUGUAAACCGCUUUCGCCUGGGACGAAGGGGGGGUGACGGUAAUGGGUAAAGAAGCACCGGCUAAUUACGU
Molecule: ribosomal RNA, 467 nt
Filed under: uncultured bacterium
Lineage: Bacteria
Description: partial 16S ribosomal RNA
Rfam family: Bacterial small subunit ribosomal RNA
Source: RNAcentral